This 523-nucleotide ribosomal RNA is filed under the name uncultured bacterium. RNAcentral describes it as "bacterial SSU rRNA". It matches the Rfam family "Bacterial small subunit ribosomal RNA", at positions 777 to 1304 of the family's 1533-position model. The record is from RNAcentral.
AAUAGAUACCCUGGUAGUUCACGCCGUAAACGAUGGAUACUAGCUGUUUGAGCGCAAGUUUGAGUGGCUAAGCGAAAGUGAUAAGUAUCCCACCUGGGGAGUACGGGCGCAAGCCUGAAACUCAAAGGAAUUGACGGGGGCCCGCACAAGCGGUGGAGCAUGUGGUUUAAUUCGAUGAUACGCGAGGAACCUUACCAGGGCUUAAAUGUAGAUUGACGUAUUUGGAAACAGAUAUUUCUUCGGACAAUUUACAAGGUGCUGCAUGGUUGUCGUCAGCUCGUGCCGUGAGGUGUUAGGUAAGUCCUAUAACGAGCGCAACCCUCGUUGUUAGUUGCCAGCGAGUAAUGUCGGGAACGUCUAGCAAGACUGCCAGUGUAAACUGUGAGGAAGGUGGGGAGUGACGUCAAAUCAUCACGGCCCUUACGUCCUGGGCCGACACACGUGCUACAAUGGCCGGUACAGAGAGCAGCCACUUAGCGAUAAGGAGCGAAUCUAUAAAGCCGGUCACAGUUCGGAUCGGAGU